AAAAAGUUAAACGGGUAUGGAGCGACAUAAGGGUGAGCUUGGACAUCAUUUUAAUUUUUGGGUGAACUACAGUAUUACUUUAAGACUGAUGAGGCCAGUAUAUCAUGGAGGGCUUCACCAGUAUUGUGCCAGAGGUGCGUGAGUCUGUUCCAAGAAAAAUCCUGUUGGCCAAAAUCUACAUUGAAGCAAAAGAGCAGAUACAUGCAGAAGAUCUACCAGUGUGACGCUGAUACACCUUAUCCAACCAUGCACUUGGUAGAUAUUGACUGGGAAAAGGCUUUCACGAGGAGGGUUCAAUUUUUGAAUUAUAAGUAUCAAUACCAAACGGCUUCUUUGCAUUAAGACUUCCUGCAUACACAAAUUUGACCCUGAUUGGAAUAUAAUUUACCCAGGUCAAUGUACUUUCAGGCCUAUGACACUCUUUUGAUGAUAAAUUGAUUGUGAUUCUUAAAAUGUUUUAAAAAGUAUAGUUCACCCAAAAAGGAAUUUUUUUUUAUAUUUUACUCAUCGUCAUGAUAUUUAAAACCUAUAUGACUUUCUUUUCUUGUGUGGGGACAGUAAGGAGAUGUUUUAAUGAAUAUCACAGUCAGUUCUUUCAGUGCCAGUAGUUAGAGCCUCACUUUAAAGCUUAAAGGACCCAAACGUAUCAUAAGUAGUUCAUGUGACUUGUGCGUUAUGUUUCAAGUCAUCUGAAGGCAUACUAUAGGUUUUGGUGAGAAACAACAUGAAAUUACAGUCAGAAACUUUAUGUCUGUUGCGUGUUAAUAAGUGCAUGAGAGAAGCUCAUUCACAGUGGCUCACGUGUUUAUUUAGUUCAUUUUUAAGCUUUAAAUUGAGGCACUGUCCACUGCCAUUGUAUUGAAAAGUCAGGCUGUGAUAUUCAUUAAAACCUUCAAAAACUUCAAUGAUCAGUGCAAGAACGAUAAUCAUACUGGCUUGAAACAUCAUGAGGGUAAAUGAUGACAGAAUUUUCAUUUUUGGGUAAGUAUUAAAGAGUAUUUAUAAAGUUACUUAAAAUUAAACGUAGUAAUAUUUUUUUAAGCACAAUUUCUGAAUAAAUUUAUAUGUAUCCUG
Long non-coding RNA from Myxocyprinus asiaticus (Chinese sucker), 1074 nucleotides. RefSeq lists it as uncharacterized. The record is from RefSeq and is a predicted model, not a curated record. NCBI's taxonomy places the organism in Eukaryota, Metazoa, Chordata, Actinopteri, Cypriniformes, Catostomidae. The transcript is spliced from 3 exons.